CAGCAGCCGCGGUAAUACAGAGGGUGCGAGCGUUAAUCGGAUUUACUGGGCGUAAAGCGUGCGUAGGCGGCUUUUUAAGACGGAUGUGAAAUCCCUGAGCUUAACUUAGGAAUUGCAUUCGAUACUGGGAAGCUAGAGUAUGGGAGAGGAUGGUAGAAUUCCAGGUGUAGCGGUGAAAUGCGUAGAGAUCUGGAGGAAUACCGAUGGCGAAGGCAGCCAUCUGGCCUAAUACUGACGCUGAGGUACGAAAGCAUGGGGAGCAAACAGGAUUAGAUACCCCUGUAGUCCCUGUCUCUUAUAC
This 301-nucleotide ribosomal RNA is filed under the name uncultured bacterium. Its description in RNAcentral is "partial 16S ribosomal RNA". It matches the Rfam family "Bacterial small subunit ribosomal RNA", at positions 509 to 807 of the family's 1533-position model. The record is from RNAcentral.